This is a long non-coding RNA of Salvia miltiorrhiza (redroot sage), 892 nucleotides long. RefSeq lists it as uncharacterized. Lineage: Eukaryota; Viridiplantae; Streptophyta; Magnoliopsida; Lamiales; Lamiaceae. The transcript is spliced from 3 exons. The record is from RefSeq and is a predicted model, not a curated record.
AGUUUCAAGUUAUUAAUAUAUAUAUAUAUAUAUAUAUAUAUAUAUAUAUUUAUGAGUCGAAUUUAUGAGUAUGUCUAGUCGCGCCCUAGUUAGAUAGAUAAUUUUAAGUUUUUAGCAAAUAAAAACUCUUAUACUCAAAGAUUGGGCCAUAAAAAUAUAUUAGCAAUAAUCUCUAUAAUGGGCCUUAUGUAUUUAUUUAUGUUUCAUUGGGCUUGGUUUGAAUUAGAGCCUAUAAUUUUUAGCAAUUUCCUUCUUCAAACAGCAAUCACGUGUAUUUUAUUUUAAGCCACAAUUUGUUUCCAUUUUCAGCCACAAAUCUUAAUUCUUGGCAGUCAAGUUUUCCUCUUCAGCCAUUCAAAUUUUCCUCAAUUUUGUGCAGCCACAUUCGUUCCAUUUUUAUCUCUUCACUAAUUUUUAUCAUUUAUUUCAUGUUUAUCUUUCAAAAUCAAUUCACUUAUCUACUUCUUCGAUCAUUAUCUUCUACACCUUAACCGCCAUACUUUUGUAUUCAUUCACGGCUAUGUAUAUAGCCAUCAGAUUCAUCAGCCUCUAUCAUUUUUCACCUUCCUGUGAGACCUCAAACUUGCUCAGCACAUCUCUUCGAUCAUCUCCUUCUAUAGAGCUUCAGUUGGUGCGGCGCGACUAGGAAGUUACUUUUAUUUGAUUUACUCAAGUUAGCAUUCAAGUUGAAGUUCAAGUUCAAAGUCCAGGUUUUAAAGGCCGGAGGCGCGUGGAAGGUCGAAUGGCGAGUCAAAUAUCUUGUAUUUAGCUUUAACUAAAGAUGUUAUUUCGAAUAAAUAUUUUAAAUAAGAUAUUUAUUUCUUUAUUUUCACAUUAAAUAUCUAUUUAUAGUCAUGAUUUUUCCGCGUGCGUUUUCAUUUAAAAUUUAAAA